This is a long non-coding RNA of Spinacia oleracea (spinach), 327 nucleotides long. RefSeq lists it as uncharacterized. The record is from RefSeq and is a predicted model, not a curated record. NCBI's taxonomy places the organism in Eukaryota, Viridiplantae, Streptophyta, Magnoliopsida, Caryophyllales, Amaranthaceae. The transcript is spliced from 3 exons.
UACAUACUAGAAUUGUUUUAUCAAUUUAACUAUUCUGUGCACUAAUAUUUGAGAAUCUUCUUUUCCCAUCUUACUAAAGUUGAUAUAUUUUCAUUUUUGGCUUGUGAUUUAGAUGGGCGUGGCCAUCCUAUUUAUGCAAAGGCUAGAAUUUGUCCAACUUGUGGAGGGGUUGGGAGGCUUUUAGUGGCAGAUUCAGCAUCUAAGCUAAGGUUGAACUCCAAACUUCUCUAGGACUCAAUAGUUGGUUUGGUAAAUGGAAAUCCAAAAGUUGUAUGGAAGGCAGGCAUGAACAAGCAAUUAUCCAACUAUACAGUGAGUUUUUAGCCG